RNAcentral lists this ribosomal RNA (421 nucleotides) under Streptomyces sp. SID10692. RNAcentral describes it as "partial 23S ribosomal RNA". It matches the Rfam family "Bacterial large subunit ribosomal RNA", at positions 2512 to 2925 of the family's 2925-position model. The record is from RNAcentral. Lineage: Bacteria; Bacillati; Actinomycetota; Actinomycetes; Kitasatosporales; Streptomycetaceae.
GAUGGUUUGGCACCUCGAUGUCGGCUCGUCGCAUCCUGGGGCUGGAGUCGGUCCCAAGGGUUGGGCUGUUCGCCCAUUAAAGCGGUACGCGAGCUGGGUUUAGAACGUCGUGAGACAGUUCGGUCCCUAUCCGCUGCGCGCGUAGGAAUAUUGAGAAGGGCUGUCCCUAGUACGAGAGGACCGGGACGGACGAACCUCUGGUGUGCCAGUUGUUCUGCCAAGGGCAUGGCUGGUUGGCUACGUUCGGAAAGGAUAACCGCUGAAAGCAUCUAAGCGGGAAGCCUGCUUCGAGAUGAGUAUUCCCACCCCCUUUGAGGGGUUAAGGCUCCCAGUAGACGACUGGGUUGAUAGGCCAGAUGUGGAAGCCCGGUAACGGGUGGAGCUGACUGGUACUAAUAGGCCGAGGGCUUGUCCUCAGUUG